RNAcentral lists this ribosomal RNA (253 nucleotides) under uncultured bacterium. RNAcentral describes it as "partial 16S ribosomal RNA". It matches the Rfam family "Bacterial small subunit ribosomal RNA", at positions 524 to 776 of the family's 1533-position model. The record is from RNAcentral.
UACGAAGGGGGCUAGCGUUGUUCGGAAUCACUGGGCGUAAAGCGCACGUAGGCGGAUUCUUAAGUCAGGGGUGAAAUCCCGAGGCUCAACCUCGGAACUGCCUUUGAUACUGGGAAUCUUGAGUAUGGUAGAGGUUGGUGGAACAGCAAGUGUAGAGGUGAAAUUCGUAGAUAUUUGCUAGAACACCAGUGGCGAAGGCGGCCAACUGGACCAUAACUGACGCUGAGGUGCGAAAGCGUGGGGAGCAAGCAGG